CACUAGGCUGUAAUGUAAAGACUGCAUUUUCUCUGAAAAGACAGUGUUUACAGCAAAAAGCCUGAUGGUAAUGAUUCUACUCACCAGAACAAAUUCAAUAAGCUGUAGUUGUUCUGGUGACUCUAGUGUCCCUUUAACUAUAUCCAUUGUCAGCCAGUCCACACAAGUUUUGUUCCCAAUAAUCCCUCUUAAGUUUCCAUACUUAAGUAAGAGUAUGUGAAAAGUAGUUAGGGUUGCCACCUUUCUUGGAAAAACAUACCGGCCUUGCUAAUUUGCAUAAUUAAAUAUGUAUGGGUGACAUCACAUGAUGUAAAUCACAAGGAGUGACAUAAGAGAAAGUGCUGUAAAAUCACCAAAAAACUACUUAGUUUGAUUCUGCUGUAUAGAUGGAUUCCUCCCAGUGCCCCCAUGUGUCGAUUACUCCAGGUCUCAGUGUUCCUAUGUAUCAGUGUCUUAGUGCCCCAUGUCUCCCAGUGUCCCCUAGUGUCGUGUCCCCAGGUCUCCCAGUGAUCCUAUGUAUCACAGUGUCUCAAUGCCCCAUGUCUCCCUGUGUCCCCAUGUAUCCCAGUGUCCCCAUGUCACUAGGAAGAC
Non-coding RNA from Pelobates cultripes (western spadefoot toad), 591 nucleotides. The record is from the annotation of a GenBank genome assembly. NCBI's taxonomy places the organism in Eukaryota, Metazoa, Chordata, Amphibia, Anura, Pelobatidae.